Molecule: ribosomal RNA, 441 nt
Filed under: uncultured bacterium
Lineage: Bacteria
Description: partial 16S ribosomal RNA
Rfam family: Bacterial small subunit ribosomal RNA
Source: RNAcentral
CCUACGGGAGGCAGCAGUGGGGAAUAUUGCACAAUGGGGGGAACCCUGAUGCAGCGACGCCGCGUGGGUGAAGGAGUAUUUCGGUAUGUAAAGCCCUAUCAGCAGGGAAGAACAAUGACGGUACCUGACUAAGAAGCACCGGCUAAAUACGUGCCAGCAGCCGCGGUAAUACGUAUGGUGCAAGCGUUAUCCGGAUUUACUGGGUGUAAAGGGAGCGCAGGCGGCGCGUUAAGCCUGGUGUGAAAGCCCGGGGCCCAACCGCGGGACUGCAUUGGGAACUGGCGCGCUGGAGUGCCGGAGGGGUAGGCGGAAUUCCUAGUGUAGCGGUGAAAUGCGUAGAUAUUAGGAGGAACACCAGUGGCGAAGGCGGCCUACUGGACGGUGACUGACGCUGAGGCUCGAAAGCGUGGGGAGCAAACAGGAUUAGAUACCCGGGUAGUC